UCCAGGGUAACCUAAUGGACAUGGCAUCAGCCCGAUAAUCGGAACACUGUGGUUUCGAUUCCCAUCCCUGGAC
RNAcentral lists this transfer RNA (73 nucleotides) under Cordylochernes scorpioides. RNAcentral's name for it is "tRNA-Ile". It matches the Rfam family "tRNA". From Rfam's summary of the family: Transfer RNA (tRNA) molecules are approximately 80 nucleotides in length. Their secondary structure includes four short double-helical elements and three loops (D, anti-codon, and T loops). Lineage: Eukaryota; Metazoa; Arthropoda; Arachnida; Pseudoscorpiones; Chernetidae. The record is from RNAcentral.